AUGUCUCUGGAUCUUACGGGAGGGGAUCCGCGCGCGCCCAUCCUCUUACCCCCCCAUUCUCCCGCUUUGAUUCCGGCGUGGAUCCGUGACUUCUCCGCCCCCCAGGUGGACUCAAGGUCGAGCCCCGUCCUGCGACGCCCCGCUGCCGUGGCGAGACCCAUCCUGCCGCCGCAACGCUGCCCCACCUCCUCCCCUUCUUCGCCCAGAUCCAAAAGGGCACAUGGUGCAGCCCCCGUCUCCUCUGCCCUGGAUCCAUGGAGCCCGUUGUGUCACGAGAGGCCCCCUCUCCUCUGUCGCGAGCUCGGGCCAACCAUUACUCAGCCACACGCCGGUGCCUUCCUCCUCCAAGGACCCGAUGCCGGCGCCAGUUCACCCAUCCUCCUACCCGCCUCUCCUAGCCGCCAGUGUGUGGGACGACGCUGGAUGGGGGCCGGCGCAUCCGUGCGGGCGUGCAGUUUGCCGGCGUGGCACGUGUGGUACACUGGUUCCGGUUAUGCUGUUCACCGGCGUACUCCCCUAUCCAACAGAGAGUGA
This 534-nucleotide ribosomal RNA is filed under the name Triticum aestivum (bread wheat). RNAcentral describes it as "partial small subunit ribosomal RNA". The record is from RNAcentral. Lineage: Eukaryota; Viridiplantae; Streptophyta; Magnoliopsida; Poales; Poaceae.